AUUCCAAGGUCGGAGAAUCUUUACAAGAAGAGUUUACCGUGUCCAUCCAGACUGGAGAGGUGGUGGCAGAGAUGAGCAGAAGUCUGCACUUCCACUCGCUGGUGAAGGGUCUCACCGGCCUGGCUGCCUCCAAGGCACAGCUGGAUACCACUUCCCAGAGCUGGUCAGAAUCGUCCGCAGAGCAUGGAGGCCGUGGUGAUGGACGGCACCAAGGCUCAGGCCAUCCUGGAAGCAUCCUGUUCCUCCAUGGGUAUGGACAUCUCACCCAUUGAGAGAUUCUCCACUCGCGUGGUGGCUCUGGCUGAAUAUCCACUCGGGCUGCAGGAGUACCUGCGCUGCAAGAUGGCCCAAGUGGCCCCAGAUUUAAUCUGAGAAGUGGUUGGAGCUCGCUUUUUCCACUAGGCCGGGCCGGAACUAGGCCUAGUGGAAGCGCAACCAAAAACGGGCACGACACGGCACGCUUAAAGCGAGCUCCGCGCUGUAGUGGAACUGCGCCAUAACAAGGCCCUGUUCAGGUACUGGGGCACCCCCCCCUCCCUGCUGGGGAAUAAAGUGGCUACAGUGAUGGCAGGGCGGGGCAGGAACCGAGCAGGGUGACUGGAGAGGGCUAAGGUCUCCUCCAGAGUGAUCCCUCUCCCCCAAUGCACCCCCACAGUCUGAGGUGUUUGAUAACGCUGAUGCAGAGAGAAAUAAGAUGACUAAAUCACCUGCAGGUGACCAUGAUGGCUGAGCACUAGGCACUGAUCCUGAUGCUGCCGUGACUUCAUGAGGAUGUCUCACUUCAAGGCAUCAAUCUGCCCAUGAGAUCUAAUCCGAUGUCCUUGGGAUGCAGAGGCUCCAUGUAACAUGAGGUGCAGUGCGUUGAAGGCAGCAGCAAGAUGGUGAAGGAGGACAGGAGGAUGUAAAGCUCUGAGUCGUAGCGACUGGACAAAGUGCUAUACGAGUACCGUCAGAGUUCUCUGUAAAGGAUUUCUUACAAACUGUACAGCUGAACGGUUUCUCUCCGAAACAAUUGUUGAAAUAAACAUCUUACACA
Molecule: long non-coding RNA, 1036 nt
Organism: Trematomus bernacchii (emerald rockcod)
Lineage: Eukaryota; Metazoa; Chordata; Actinopteri; Perciformes; Nototheniidae
Exons: 8
Source: RefSeq, a predicted model, not a curated record